RNAcentral lists this ribosomal RNA (1554 nucleotides) under Klebsiella aerogenes. RNAcentral's name for it is "bacterial SSU rRNA". It matches the Rfam family "Bacterial small subunit ribosomal RNA". The record is from RNAcentral. Lineage: Bacteria; Pseudomonadati; Pseudomonadota; Gammaproteobacteria; Enterobacterales; Enterobacteriaceae.
ACUUAAAUUGAAGAGUUUGAUCAUGGCUCAGAUUGAACGCUGGCGGCAGGCCUAACACAUGCAAGUCGAGCGGUAACACAGAGAGCUUGCUCUCGGGUGACGAGCGGCGGACGGGUGAGUAAUGUCUGGGAAACUGCCUGAUGGAGGGGGAUAACUACUGGAAACGGUAGCUAAUACCGCAUAACGUCGCAAGACCAAAGUGGGGGACCUUCGGGCCUCAUGCCAUCAGAUGUGCCCAGAUGGGAUUAGCUAGUAGGUGGGGUAAUGGCUCACCUAGGCGACGAUCCCUAGCUGGUCUGAGAGGAUGACCAGCCACACUGGAACUGAGACACGGUCCAGACUCCUACGGGAGGCAGCAGUGGGGAAUAUUGCACAAUGGGCGCAAGCCUGAUGCAGCCAUGCCGCGUGUAUGAAGAAGGCCUUCGGGUUGUAAAGUACUUUCAGCGAGGAGGAAGGCAUUAAGGUUAAUAACCUUGGUGAUUGACGUUACUCGCAGAAGAAGCACCGGCUAACUCCGUGCCAGCAGCCGCGGUAAUACGGAGGGUGCAAGCGUUAAUCGGAAUUACUGGGCGUAAAGCGCACGCAGGCGGUCUGUCAAGUCGGAUGUGAAAUCCCCGGGCUCAACCUGGGAACUGCAUUCGAAACUGGCAGGCUAGAGUCUUGUAGAGGGGGGUAGAAUUCCAGGUGUAGCGGUGAAAUGCGUAGAGAUCUGGAGGAAUACCGGUGGCGAAGGCGGCCCCCUGGACAAAGACUGACGCUCAGGUGCGAAAGCGUGGGGAGCAAACAGGAUUAGAUACCCUGGUAGUCCACGCCGUAAACGAUGUCGACUUGGAGGUUGUGCCCUUGAGGCGUGGCUUCCGGAGCUAACGCGUUAAGUCGACCGCCUGGGGAGUACGGCCGCAAGGUUAAAACUCAAAUGAAUUGACGGGGGCCCGCACAAGCGGUGGAGCAUGUGGUUUAAUUCGAUGCAACGCGAAGAACCUUACCUACUCUUGACAUCCAGAGAACUUAGCAGAGAUGCUUUGGUGCCUUCGGGAACUCUGAGACAGGUGCUGCAUGGCUGUCGUCAGCUCGUGUUGUGAAAUGUUGGGUUAAGUCCCGCAACGAGCGCAACCCUUAUCCUUUGUUGCCAGCGGUCCGGCCGGGAACUCAAAGGAGACUGCCAGUGAUAAACUGGAGGAAGGUGGGGAUGACGUCAAGUCAUCAUGGCCCUUACGAGUAGGGCUACACACGUGCUACAAUGGCAUAUACAAAGAGAAGCGACCUCGCGAGAGCAAGCGGACCUCAUAAAGUAUGUCGUAGUCCGGAUUGGAGUCUGCAACUCGACUCCAUGAAGUCGGAAUCGCUAGUAAUCGUAGAUCAGAAUGCUACGGUGAAUACGUUCCCGGGCCUUGUACACACCGCCCGUCACACCAUGGGAGUGGGUUGCAAAAGAAGUAGGUAGCUUAACCUUCGGGAGGGCGCUUACCACUUUGUGAUUCAUGACUGGGGUGAAGUCGUAACAAGGUAACCGUAGGGGAACCUGCGGUUGGAUCACCUCCUUACCUUAAAGAA